Long non-coding RNA from Cavia porcellus (domestic guinea pig), 331 nucleotides. RefSeq lists it as uncharacterized. Lineage: Eukaryota; Metazoa; Chordata; Mammalia; Rodentia; Caviidae. The transcript is spliced from 3 exons. The record is from RefSeq and is a predicted model, not a curated record.
GGGUCUCUUCCGGUGUAUAGAAAUUGUGUACCUGUUUGGAAUACAAAACUGGGAGCAGAAUGCUUGCUGGAUCUCAUUUACUGGUUUCGAUGUCCUGUGGCCUGAUUAGCAAAGAACCUGGGAGACCCUCUAAGCCACAGAAUGGAGGUGGUGACCUUUGAGGAUGUGGUUGUGAACUUCAGCAAUGAGGAGUGGAGUUUGCUGAGUCCAUCCCAAAAGAACCUCUACAGAGAUGUGAUGGGUGAAAUCUUUAGGAACAUGGCUGCAAUUGGAGGACUUGGGGAUAUCCAGGAAGCUGAAAAAGGAGGCAAAAUUUACUGGAGAUACUUAA